Long non-coding RNA from Eucalyptus grandis, 1235 nucleotides. RefSeq lists it as uncharacterized. Lineage: Eukaryota; Viridiplantae; Streptophyta; Magnoliopsida; Myrtales; Myrtaceae. The record is from RefSeq and is a predicted model, not a curated record. The transcript has 2 exons.
UUGAUCCAAUUAGGUAGCUUGAUCCAGCUCUAUGCUGUCCAGUCUGAGAGAUUCUUUGUAUCAGAGUUUGCCACCUAGUAUAAAGUCAUCUUUGCGCUCUAGAAUUCAUUCUUUUCAUGUCAAAGAAAAGACAUCAAAGUUGAGAUGGAGCAGACUCUACAGAGGCUUGUUCCAAUUGCCACAAAAACAGCGAAGUAAGAUAUCCCCACUACCGACCUCAAAUGCUUUCAAGCUUGCCUUUGUUUCUUUUGAUAUUUCUGUUUUUGCUUCUGAUUGCAGCAAAGCUCAUCAUGGCUUCGGAUGGGGUGGUGAAUGGGCGAAUACUGGCUUAGUUAAACUCGAGCACUUUCUGUCAUUUUUUAACCACCGCUUCCACCCAACCAGCACCUCUACAAUAGUAAAAGGAACUCCAUAGUGGUAAAUUCAUGCCAAAACAUAGAUGAUGUGGUGUGUUGUUGCUGGUCUGAGGUAAACAGGAAGCUUCCUGUCACUGGAUAAAUCGAGCUAUGAUGUUAAAGACGCGUCUGCCAAAACCUGCUCGCCUCUACUAAUUGCUGAAGACUAAUGUUACAAGACAUAAGUGAGAGAAAACAGUGGUUGGGAAUCAGUAAGAGCUAGGAUUUGGACUCCUUCAAGGCUAGGUUGAAGAAGCACGACAAACUGAGCAAGAGGAUGUCAUUGAUAGAGUCAGUGAAUUUAGAUGACUCAAAGGAAUCCACAUACCUUUUGAUAAAGUAGAACGCCUUAUAGGUAAAGAGAUGGUCAUCCCACAUCCUGCUUUUGUCUACAACCGUGUCCAUAGAGUUCUAGAAGACAGCGAGCCCCAUAGCAUCCCUGGUAGAUGGCUUUGAAAGAAUUUGGGGAAUAUUCACAAUCUCCGUCACUCAAAAGUUCCUCCUACGACAUAGGGGCAACGCAGGUAUGCUUUGGAAGCUGGAGAGAUGUGGCUGGGAGAAUAUGCAAGGGAGGUGAAUCAUAGUGUAGUUUGAAAAGAUGGUGAAAAGAAUACGUGACAUACUUUUGGUGUCUGUACAAAGAGUUAAGUCAUAUUGUUCAAAUUAUUCAUUUUGGAUGCAUGGAGUUGCUUUUUUUUGGAGGGUCCGUCUGCAUUCCUUCACUCUACUCUGUCCUACUAUUGCGGUUUCUUUUCUUGUUUCUUUCUUUUGUCCUUGUAAUUCUUUCUAUGGCGUUGAAUAUGUAAACAGGUGGCACCGCAAGAAUUCCAUUUGUAAACU